GACGAACGCUGGCGGCGUGCCUAACACAUGCAAGUCGAGCGAGUGAAUCUCCCUCGGGAGUGAAGCUAGCGGCGGACGGGUGAGUAACACGUGGGCAACCUGCCUCAUAGAGGGGAAUAGCCUUUCGAAAGGAAGAUUAAUACCGCAUAAGAUUGUAGCUUCGCAUGAAGUAGCAAUUAAAGGAGCAAUCCGCUAUGAGAUGGGCCCGCGGCGCAUUAGCUAGUUGGUGAGGUAACGGCGUCACCAAGGCGACGAUGCGUAGCCGACCUGAGAGGGUGAUCGGCCACAUUGGGACCUGAGACACGGCCCAGACUCCUACGGGAGGCAGCCAGUGGGGGAAUAUUGCACAAUGGGGGAAACCCUGAUGCAGCAAACGCCGCGUCGAGUGAUGACGGCC
This 397-nucleotide ribosomal RNA is filed under the name uncultured bacterium. Its description in RNAcentral is "bacterial SSU rRNA". It matches the Rfam family "Bacterial small subunit ribosomal RNA", at positions 28 to 416 of the family's 1533-position model. The record is from RNAcentral.